This 370-nucleotide ribosomal RNA is filed under the name uncultured bacterium. RNAcentral describes it as "bacterial SSU rRNA". It matches the Rfam family "Bacterial small subunit ribosomal RNA", at positions 30 to 402 of the family's 1533-position model. The record is from RNAcentral.
AUUGAACGCUGGCGGCAUGCCUUACACAUGCAAGUCGAACGGUAACGGGCCUUCGGGUGCCGACGAGUGGCGAACGGGUGAGUAAUGCAUCGGAACGUACCUUUCAGUGGGGGAUAACGUAGCGAAAGUUACGCUAAUACCGCAUAUUCUGUGAGCAGGAAAGCAGGGGAUCGCAAGACCUUGCGCUGAUUGAGCGGCCGAUGUCAGAUUAGCUAGUUGGUGAGGUAAAGGCUCACCAAGGCGACGAUCUGUAGCGGGUCUGAGAGGAUGAUCCGCCACACUGGAACUGAGACACGGUCCAGACUCCUACGGGAGGCAGCAGUGGGGAAUUUUGGACAAUGGGGGCAACCCUGAUCCAGCCAUGCCGCGU